AUUCAUGUCUACCACCCUGAACAUGCCCUAUCUUGUCUGAUCUUGGAAGCUAAGGAGGGUCAGGCCAGGUUAGUACUUGCAUGGGAGCCCUUCUUUUUAAUUGUUCAUGCUGAUU
This 115-nucleotide ribosomal RNA is filed under the name Carlito syrichta (Philippine tarsier). Lineage: Eukaryota; Metazoa; Chordata; Mammalia; Primates; Tarsiidae. The record is from RNAcentral.